RNAcentral lists this unclassified non-coding RNA (353 nucleotides) under uncultured fungus. Its description in RNAcentral is "sequence contains 5.8S rRNA gene". Lineage: Eukaryota; Fungi. The record is from RNAcentral.
GAACGCACAUUGCACUCUAUUUCGGUAGAGUAUGCCUGUUUGAGAAUCUAAUGUAUUCUUUUUCCUAAGGUCUUUGUACAUUAGGAGAGAUUUGUAGAAUCUCUAUGCUUUAUGUCAUAGAGUUCUAUUAAUUAUAUAGCUCGGCUUUAAUUAUAGACUUUAUUUUCUAUAAAACAAAUUGCAGAAAAGUAUUUGAAUGGAACUUUUAGUUUCUCCCUGUACUGACUAGGCAGUUUGGACUGAGUCCAUAACUAUGUAAAAGUUUUUUAUUAGUAAUCAAAUUUUUUUUUGAUAAAAGUAAAUUCUUUUGAACCAUGGUCUCAAAUCAGGUAGGAUUACCCGCUGAACUUAAG